CCUACGGGUGGCUGCAGUGGGGAAUAUUGGACAAUGGGGGCAACCCUGAUCCAGCCAUGCCGCGUGUGUGAAGAAGGCCCUCGGGUUGGAAAGCACUUUCAGUGAGGAAGAACGCCUGGUGGUUAAUACCCAUCAGGAAAGACAUCACUCACAGAAGAAGCACCGGCUAACUCCGUGCCAGCAGCCGCGGUAAUACGGAGGGUGCGAGCGUUAAUCGGAAUUACUGGGCGUAAAGCGCGCGUAGGUGGCUUGAUAAGCCGGUUGUGAAAGCCCCGGGCUCAACCUGGGAACGGCAUCCGGAACUGUCAAGCUAGAGUGCAGGAGAGGAAGGUAGAAUUCCCGGUGUAGCGGUGAAAUGCGUAGAGAUCGGGAGGAAUACCAGUGGCGAAGGCGGCCUUCUGGACUGACACUGACACUGAGGUGCGAAAGCGUGGGUAGCAAACAGGAUUAGAUACCCCAGUAGUC
Molecule: ribosomal RNA, 465 nt
Filed under: Vreelandella stevensii
Lineage: Bacteria; Pseudomonadati; Pseudomonadota; Gammaproteobacteria; Oceanospirillales; Halomonadaceae
Description: partial 16S ribosomal RNA
Rfam family: Bacterial small subunit ribosomal RNA
Source: RNAcentral